Electrophorus electricus (electric eel) is the source of this 674-nucleotide non-coding RNA. The record is from RefSeq and is a predicted model, not a curated record. Lineage: Eukaryota; Metazoa; Chordata; Actinopteri; Gymnotiformes; Gymnotidae.
GGAUGAAUGCAUAGAGAAUGGGGGUCAGGGGCCAUGUGAGGGUGCAUGUGUGAACACCCCAGGCUGGUUUCACUGUGUUUGUCCAUAUGGAUACCAGCUAGCUGGGGACGGGAGAGCCUGCAUCUCAGAGUGUCCGCCUGGACACCGGAAACAACGCUUGGAUGCACCAGUAGGAAACUCAACUAUAGAACACUGUGUCGAUAUUGAUGAAUGUAAGGAGACAGAGGAGAACCAGCCAGACAGAUGUGAAUGGAAAUGUGUAAAUCUGCCAGGUACCCACCACUGCAUCUGUCCAAGGGGAUACACACAGCUUCCUGGUGGACAUCGCUGCAGGGAUGUUAACGAGUGCGCGCAGCAGAACGGGGGAUGCUCCCACACCUGUGUGAACCACAGAGGCGGCUACAAAUGUGCCUGUCCAAAAAAUUUCCACCUCUCUCCCUACAACAGAAGAACGUGCCAGGCAGUCCACAACUCACAAAGGACCGUUUCUUAACAUAGACAAGGUAUUCUUGUUCAUCAUUCAAUUCACUCAUAAACAGGAAAAAGGAAGCACUACUGUUUGUUUGUUUUUUAGUCUAUAAUCUUGACUUUUUGUACACAAGCUUCACAGCUGGAGAAUCUGAACAUUUACUACUAAAGACUCUGUGUCCCAUAUUAUACUGUUGCCAACUGGC